UAUGAUGCAGACAAGAGAAAGGAGUCC
RNAcentral lists this non-coding RNA (27 nucleotides) under Rattus norvegicus (Norway rat). The record is from RNAcentral. Lineage: Eukaryota; Metazoa; Chordata; Mammalia; Rodentia; Muridae.